AUUCUUGGUUCAGCAGUACAGGUACUGAAAUUUGAGUGAUACAGAGAAGACUGGCAUGGUCCCUGUUCAAGGAUGAUAGGCAAAUAUGUGAAAUGAGUCAUAGUAAAAAAUUUUU
RNAcentral lists this small nuclear RNA (115 nucleotides) under Suricata suricatta (meerkat). The record is from RNAcentral. Lineage: Eukaryota; Metazoa; Chordata; Mammalia; Carnivora; Herpestidae.